GGUCAAGUGACUAAGUGCAUGUGGUGGAUGCCUUGGCGAUUACAGGCGAUGAAGGACGUGAUAGCCUGCGAUAAGCUUCGGGGAGCUGGCAAAUUAGCUUUGAUCCGAAGAUUUCCGAAUGGGGAAACCCACCCGCAAGGGUAUCGCACACUGAAUACAUAGGUGUGCGAGGCGAACCGGGAGAACUGAAACAUCUCAGUACCUCGAGGAAAAGACAUCAACCGAGAUUCCGAAAGUAGUGGCGAGCGAAAUCGGAACAGCCUGCGCAAGAUAGCCAUCGAUUCAUCAAAACGGCAUGGAAAGGCCGACCAAAGAGGGUGAUAGUCCCGUAUGGAAAAAGUCGGUGGUGGUACUAGGUGCGGAACAAGUAGGGCGGGGCACGUGAAACCUUGUCUGAACAUGGGGGGACCAUCCUCCAAGGCUAAAUACUCGUAAUCGACCGAUAGCGAACAAGUACCGUGAGGGAAAGGCGAAAAGAACCCCGGGAGGGGAGUGAAAUAGAUCCUGAAACCGCAUGCAUACAAAAAGUCGGAGCCCGAAAGGGUGACGGCGUACCUUUUGUAUAAUGGGUCAGCGACUUACAUUCAGUGGCAAGCUUAACCGAAUAGGGAAGGCGCAGGGAAACCGAGUCCGAAUAGGGCGUUUCAGUCGCUGGGUGUAGACCCGAAACCAGGUGAUCUAUCCAUGGCCAGGAUGAAGGUGCGGUAACACGCACUGGAGGUCCGAACCGACUAGUGUUGCAAAACUAGCGGAUGAGCUGUGGAUAGGGGUGAAAGGCUAAACAAACCUGGAGAUAGCUGGUUCUCUCCGAAAACUAUUUAGGUAGUGCCUCAAGUAUUACCAUCGGGGGUAGAGCACUGUUAUGGCUAGGGGGUCAUGGCGACUUACCAAACCAUUGCAAACUCCGAAUACCGAUGAGUACAGCUUGGGAGACAGUGCACCGGGUGCUAACGUCCGGACACAAGAGGGAAACAACCCAGACCGCCAGCUAAGGUCCCUAAUAUUGGCUAAGUGGGAAACGAAGUGGGAAGGCUAAAACAGUCAGGAUGUUGGCUUAGAAGCAGCCACCAUUUAAAGAAAGCGUAAUAGCUCACUGAUCGAGUCGUCCUGCGCGGAAGAUGUAACGGGGCUAAGCCAGUAACCGAAGCUGCGGAUUCACACGCAAGUGUGAGUGGUAGGAGAGCGUUCUGUACGCCUGUGAAGGUGGAUCGUGAGGUCUGCUGGAGGUAUCAGAAGUGCGAAUGCUGACAUGAGUAGCGUUAAAGGGGGUGAAAAGCCCCCUCGCCGUAAGCGCAAGGUUUCCUACGCAACGUUCAUCGGCGUAGGGUGAGUCGGCCCCUAAGGCGAGGCAGAGAUGCGUAGCUGAUGGGAAACAGGUCAAUAUUCCUGUACCGAUCUAUAGUGCGAUGUGGGGACGGAGAAGGUUAGCUCAGCCGGGUGUUGGAUGUCCCGGUUCAAGCCUGUAGUCGUGCCUGGUAGGCAAAUCCGCCAGGCUUAGAUGAGGGGUGAUAACGAGACGGCUUGCCGUCGAAGUGAGUGAUACCCUGCUUCCAGGAAAAGCCACUAAGCUUCAGCUAUAGACGACCGUACCGCAAACCGACACUGGUGCGCGUGAUGAGUAUUCUCAGGCGCUUGAGAGAACUCUGGAGAAGGAACUCGGCAAAUUGACACCGUAACUUCGGAAGAAGGUGUGCCUUUAGUAGGUGAACCCGUACAGGGGGAGCCCAAUGAGGCCGCAGAGAAUCGGUGGCUGCGACUGUUUAAUAAAAACACAGCACUCUGCAAAGACGAAAGUCGACGUAUAGGGUGUGACGCCUGCCCGGUGCUGGAAGAUUAAAUGAUGGGGUGCAAGCUCUUGAUUGAAGUCCCAGUAAACGGCGGCCGUAACUAUAACGGUCCUAAGGUAGCGAAAUUCCUUGUCGGGUAAGUUCCGACCUGCACGAAUGGCGUAACGAUGGCCACACUGUCUCCUCCAGAGACUCAGCGAAGUUGAAAUGUUUGUGAUGAUGCAAUCUCCCCGCGGAAAGACGGAAAGACCCCAUGAACCUUUACUGUAGCUUUACAUUGGACUUUGAACAGAUCUGUGUAGGAUAGGUGGGAGGCUUUGAAGCCAGGACGCUAGUUCUGGUGGAGCCAACGUUGAAAUACCACCCUGGUGUGUUUGAGGUUCUAACCUUGUCCCGUUAUCCGGGAUGGGGACAGUGUAUGGUAGGCAGUUUGACUGGGGCGGUCUCCUCCCAAAGCGUAACGGAGGAGUUCGAAGGUACGCUAGCCACGGUCGGAAAUCGUGGUGAUAGUGCAUUGGCAUAAGCGUGCUUGACUGCGAGACUGACAAGUCGAGCAGGUACGAAAGUAGGACAAAGUGAUCCGGUGGUUCUGUAUGGAAGGGCCAUCGCUCAACGGAUAAAAGGUACUCUGGGGAUAACAGGCUGAUACCGCCCAAGAGUUCAUAUCGACGGCGGUGUUUGGCACCUCGAUGUCGGCUCAUCUCAUCCUGGGGCUGUAGCCGGUCCCAAGGGUAUGGCUGUUCGCCAUUUAAAGAGGUACGUGAGCUGGGUUUAAAACGUCGUGAGACAGUUUGGUCCCUAUCUUCCGUGGGCGCUGCAAGAUUGAGAGAGCCUGCUCCUAGUACGAGAGGACCGGAGUGGACGCACCUCUGGUGUAUCGGUUGUCACGCCAGUGGCAUUGCCGAGUAGCUAAGUGCGGAAGAGAUAACCGCUGAAAGCAUCUAAGCGGGAAACUCGUCUCAAGAUGAGUCUUGCCGGGGCCUUGAGCCCCCUGAAGAGUCGUUCAAGACCAGGACGUUGAUAGGCUGGGUGUGGAAGCGCAGUAAUGCGUUAAGCUAACCAGUACUAAUUGCUCGUGAGGCUUGACCCU
RNAcentral lists this ribosomal RNA (2877 nucleotides) under Pseudaquabacterium prasiolae. Its description in RNAcentral is "Aquabacterium sp. OR-4 23S ribosomal RNA". It matches the Rfam family "Bacterial large subunit ribosomal RNA". The record is from RNAcentral. Lineage: Bacteria; Pseudomonadati; Pseudomonadota; Betaproteobacteria; Burkholderiales; Sphaerotilaceae.